Molecule: unclassified non-coding RNA, 269 nt
Filed under: Glomeraceae sp.
Lineage: Eukaryota; Fungi; Glomeromycota; Glomeromycetes; Glomerales; Glomeraceae
Description: partial contains 5.8S ribosomal RNA and internal transcribed spacer 2
Rfam family: 5.8S ribosomal RNA (bases 1-72)
Source: RNAcentral
GUGAAUCAUCAAAUUUUUGAACGCAAAUUGCACUCUCCGGUUUUCCGGGAGAGUAUGCCUGUUUGAGGGUCAGCCUAAAAAAAAAUCGAAAUUGUUGCUGUUAUUUAAUGGUGACUUUCGUCGGAGUUUGGGUAAUCUUAAACUUUUUUUUUUUUUUGGUUUAAGUGAUUUAAAAUUUUUCUUCACGAUUCAAUGAAGGUUUCUAAGAUUUUUAUUUCUUAUACGUUUAGGUUUUAUUGAUUUUUUAUUAGAGGUGAUGGUCGCAUCGG